GGCGCUUUGGCGGAGUGGUUAACGCGAUGGCCUGCUAAUUCAGUUUCCCUCGGGAGCGUGUGUUCGAAUCACACAGGCGUCG
RNAcentral lists this transfer RNA (82 nucleotides) under Rhynchosporium agropyri. It matches the Rfam family "tRNA". From Rfam's summary of the family: Transfer RNA (tRNA) molecules are approximately 80 nucleotides in length. Their secondary structure includes four short double-helical elements and three loops (D, anti-codon, and T loops). The record is from RNAcentral. Lineage: Eukaryota; Fungi; Ascomycota; Leotiomycetes; Helotiales; Ploettnerulaceae.